UGGGGAAUAUUGCACAAUGGACGAAAGUCUGAUGCAGCAACGCCGCGUGGAGGAUGACACAUUUCGGUGCGUAAACUCCUUUUAUAUAGGAAGAUAAUGACGGUACUAUAUGAAUAAGCACCGGCUAACUCCGUGCCAGCAGCCGCGGUAAUACGGAGGGUGCAAGCGUUACUCGGAAUCACUGGGCGUAAAGAGCGUGUAGGCGGAUAAGUAAGUCAGAAGUGAAAUCCAAUAGCUCAACUAUUGAACUGCUUUUGAAACUGCUUGUCUAGAAUAUGGGAGAGGUAGAUGGAAUUUCUGGUGUAGGGGUAAAAUCCGUAGAGAUCAGAAGGAAUACCGAUUGCGAAGGCGAUCUACUGGAACAUUAUUGACGCUGAGACGCGAAAGCGUGGGGAGCAAACA
Molecule: ribosomal RNA, 402 nt
Filed under: uncultured prokaryote
Description: bacterial SSU rRNA
Rfam family: Bacterial small subunit ribosomal RNA
Source: RNAcentral